RNAcentral lists this ribosomal RNA (472 nucleotides) under Escherichia coli. Its description in RNAcentral is "partial 23S ribosomal RNA". It matches the Rfam family "Bacterial large subunit ribosomal RNA", at positions 729 to 1199 of the family's 2925-position model. Lineage: Bacteria; Pseudomonadati; Pseudomonadota; Gammaproteobacteria; Enterobacterales; Enterobacteriaceae. The record is from RNAcentral.
UCUAGCCAUGGGCAGGUUGAAGGUUGGGUAACACUAACUGGAGGACCGAACCGACUAAUGUUGAAAAAUUAGCGGAUGACUUGUGGCUGGGGGUGAAAGGCCAAUCAAACCGGGAGAUAGCUGGUUCUCCCCGAAAGCUAUUUAGGUAGCGCCUCGUGAAUUCAUCUCCGGGGGUAGAGCACUGUUUCGGCAAGGGGGUCAUCCCGACUUACCAACCCGAUGCAAACUGCGAAUACCGGAGAAUGUUAUCACGGGAGACACACGGCGGGUGCUAACGUCCGUCGUGAAGAGGGAAACAACCCAGACCGCCAGCUAAGGUCCCAAAGUCAUGGUUAAGUGGGAAACGAUGUGGGAAGGCCCAGACAGCCAGGAUGUUGGCUUAGAAGCAGCCAUCAUUUAAAGAAAGCGUAAUAGCUCACUGGUCGAGUCGGCCUGCGCGGAAGAUGUAACGGGGCUAAACCAUGCACCGAAG